This 83-nucleotide transfer RNA is filed under the name Arthrobacter globiformis. RNAcentral describes it as "tRNA-Leu". It matches the Rfam family "tRNA". From Rfam's summary of the family: Transfer RNA (tRNA) molecules are approximately 80 nucleotides in length. Their secondary structure includes four short double-helical elements and three loops (D, anti-codon, and T loops). Further hydrogen bonds mediate the characteristic L-shaped molecular structure. tRNAs have two regions of fundamental functional importance: the anti-codon, which is responsible for specific mRNA codon recognition, and the 3' end, to which the tRNAs corresponding amino acid is attached (by aminoacyl-tRNA synthetases). tRNAs cope with the degeneracy of the genetic code in two manners: having more than one tRNA (with a specific anti-codon) for a particular amino acid; and 'wobble' base-pairing, i.e. permitting non-standard base-pairing at the 3rd anti-codon position. The record is from RNAcentral. Lineage: Bacteria; Bacillati; Actinomycetota; Actinomycetes; Micrococcales; Micrococcaceae.
GCGCUGGUGGCGGAAUGGCAGACGCGCUAGCUUGAGGUGCUAGUCCUCGAAAGGGGGUGGGGGUUCAAGUCCCCCUCUGCGCA